RNAcentral lists this long non-coding RNA (290 nucleotides) under Polistes fuscatus (common paper wasp). RNAcentral describes it as "uncharacterized LOC122513427". The record is from RNAcentral. Lineage: Eukaryota; Metazoa; Arthropoda; Insecta; Hymenoptera; Vespidae.
GUGUAAGAACUCGAUCCUCACACUAGUAAUACACACGCGUAAAAACCGAUAACAGAAAAUGGCGCCAGCAUCUUUUCCGUAUACGACAAUCGCUGGAAUCCUUAGCACAAGCAAGGUCAUUGUCAGACGACGAGUAUUCUUCUUUUAUAGUUAUACUGUCAAAUGAUUGACCACACACAUCGCACUUGGUGUCUGCAUUUUUGCUAUCUUUAACAGGACGUCCACGAGCAUCUAUUUCUUUAUUUGCAUGUUUUCUAAAAAAAUAAAAUUCCAUAUUAAUAUAUAUAUUC